AGGGGGCAAGCGUUAUCCGGAUUUACUGGGUGUAAAGGGAGCGUAGACGGCAGCGCAAGUCUGGAGUGAAAUCCCGGGGCUCAACCCCGGAACUGCUUUGGAAACUGCGCGGCUCGAUUGCAGGAGGGGCAGGCGGAAUUCCUAGUGUAGCGGUGAAAUGCGUAGAUAUUAGGAGGAACACCAGUGGCGAAGGCGGCCUGCUGGACUGUAACUGACGUUGAGGCUCGAAAGCGUGGGGAGCAAA
This 244-nucleotide ribosomal RNA is filed under the name uncultured bacterium. RNAcentral describes it as "partial 16S ribosomal RNA". It matches the Rfam family "Bacterial small subunit ribosomal RNA", at positions 529 to 772 of the family's 1533-position model. The record is from RNAcentral.